This 253-nucleotide ribosomal RNA is filed under the name uncultured bacterium. Its description in RNAcentral is "partial 16S ribosomal RNA". It matches the Rfam family "Bacterial small subunit ribosomal RNA", at positions 524 to 776 of the family's 1533-position model. The record is from RNAcentral.
UACGAAGGGGGCUAGCGUUGCUCGGAAUUACUGGGCGUAAAGGGAGCGUAGGCGGAUAGUUCAGUCAGAGGUGAAAGCCCAGGGCUCAACCUUGGAAUUGCCUUUGAUACUGGCUGUCUUGAGUAUGGGAGAGGUGAGUGGAACUGCGAGUGUAGAGGUGAAAUUCGUAGAUAUUCGGAAGAACACCAGUGGCGAAGGCGGCUCACUGGACUGGUAUUGACGCUGAGGUGCGAAAGCGUGGGGAGCAAACAGG